UACGGAGGGGGCUAGCGUUGUUCGGAAUUACUGGGCGUAAAGCGCACGUAGGCGGCUUUGUAAGUUAGAGGUGAAAGCCCGGGGCUCAACUCCGGAAUUGCCUUAAGACUGCAUCGCUAGAAUUGUGGAGAGGUAAGUGGAAUUCCGAGUGUAGAGGUGAAAUUCGUAGAUAUUCGGAAGAACACCAGUGGCGAAGGCGACUUACUGGACACAUAUUGACGCUGAGGUGCGAAAGCGUGGGGAGCAACAGG
Molecule: ribosomal RNA, 251 nt
Filed under: uncultured bacterium
Lineage: Bacteria
Description: partial 16S ribosomal RNA
Rfam family: Bacterial small subunit ribosomal RNA
Source: RNAcentral